GUUGACGAUAAGCGGUGUAGCUUACCUUACACGAAACAGGUUGAGCUAACUACUUGCAGAUUUAGUCAAAAUAUAAUGUGUGUAGCAGAACACUGCGAGACAGGUAGUUAGGGGUGAUAGGCCAAGCAAAAUCUGUGAUAUCUUGAUCUCAGGAAAUACAUUUAGUGAUAAGCUGAGUAAGAAGUGAUAAGGCUCCUUACCCAAAUUAAUUGAUAACAAUUAGACAUAUAACUUUAACAGGUGAUAUAAGUUAAAUGUAAUAUAAUAAUAUAUUUUUUUAUUUAAACUACUGAAGGCUAUAAACCCACUAAAUACUCACAAUGUCAAUAUAAGUAGACUAUACAAGUUAGUGAAAUGAACUCGGCAAAAAGACCUUUCGACUGUUUACCAAAAACAUAGCUAUGCGAACUAACACAUAGUUUUUUCUGCUCAAUGAGUCUUAAAUAGCCGCAGUACUCUGACUGUGCAAAGGUAGCAUAAUCAGUUGGCUUAUAAUUGAAGUCUGGAAUGAAAGAAUAAACGGAGGGAAGCUAUGUCUCACUAAAACUUUGAAAUUAAUAAGUGAGUGAAAAUGCUCACACAUAAAUAAUAGACGAGAAGACCCUAGAAAUUUAAAUUAACUUUUGUUGGGGCGACAUAAUAGCAACUUAACCUAUUUUAUGUACAUGGGUCUAAUUAGGAGUAAGAUUAAUUACUCUAGGGAUAACAGCAUAAUUUAUAAAAGAUUGUGACCUCGAUGUUGGACUAGGAAUUCUAGUCCAAGAUGAGGGUUUGC
This 775-nucleotide ribosomal RNA is filed under the name Amphidromus xiengensis. Its description in RNAcentral is "partial 16S ribosomal RNA". It matches the Rfam family "Bacterial large subunit ribosomal RNA", at positions 688 to 2576 of the family's 2925-position model. The record is from RNAcentral. Lineage: Eukaryota; Metazoa; Mollusca; Gastropoda; Stylommatophora; Camaenidae.